RNAcentral lists this ribosomal RNA (495 nucleotides) under uncultured bacterium. Its description in RNAcentral is "partial 16S ribosomal RNA". It matches the Rfam family "Bacterial small subunit ribosomal RNA", at positions 30 to 507 of the family's 1533-position model. The record is from RNAcentral.
UGAACGCUGGCGGCGUGCCUAAUACAUGCAAGUCGAGCGAACGGACGCGAAGCUUGUUUCUCUGAUGUUAGCGGCGGACGGGUGAGUAACACGUGGAUAACCUACCUAUAAGACUGGGAUAACUUCGGGAAACCGGAGCUAAUACCGGAUGAUAUUUUGAACCGCAUGGUUCAAAAGUGAAAGACGGUCUUGCUGUCACUUAUAGAUGGAUCCGCGCUGCAUUAGCUAGUUGGUAAGGUAACGGCUUACCAAGGCAACGAUGCAUAGCCGACCUGAGAGGGUGAUCGGCCACACUGGAACUGAGACACGGUCCAGACUCCUACGGGAGGCAGCAGUAGGGAAUCUUCCGCAAUGGGCGAAAGCCUGGCGGAGCAACGCCGCGUGAGUGAUGAAGGUCUUCGGAUCGUAAAACUCUGUUAUUAGGGAAGAACAUAUGUGUAAGUAACUGUGCACAUCUUGACGGUACCUAAUCAGAAAGCCACGGCUAACUACGUG